This 253-nucleotide ribosomal RNA is filed under the name uncultured Oscillospiraceae bacterium. Its description in RNAcentral is "partial 16S ribosomal RNA". It matches the Rfam family "Bacterial small subunit ribosomal RNA", at positions 524 to 776 of the family's 1533-position model. Lineage: Bacteria; Bacillati; Bacillota; Clostridia; Eubacteriales; Oscillospiraceae. The record is from RNAcentral.
UACGUAGGUGGCAAGCGUUAUCCGGAUUUAUUGGGUGUAAAGGGCGUGCAGCCGGGCUGACAAGUCAGAUGUGAAAUCCCGCGGCUCAACCGCGGAACUGCAUUUGAAACUGUCAGUCUUGAGUACUGGAGAGGCAGACGGAAUUCCUAGUGUAGCGGUGAAAUGCGUAGAUAUUAGGAGGAACACCAGUGGCGAAGGCGAUUUGCUGGGCCAUCACUGACGCUGAGGUACGAAAGCGUGGGGAGCAAAUAGG